RNAcentral lists this ribosomal RNA (301 nucleotides) under uncultured bacterium. RNAcentral's name for it is "partial 16S ribosomal RNA". It matches the Rfam family "Bacterial small subunit ribosomal RNA", at positions 509 to 807 of the family's 1533-position model. The record is from RNAcentral.
CAGUCGCCGCGGUAAUACGUAGGGUGCGAGCGUUAAUCGGAAUUACUGGGCGUAAAGCGUGCGCAGGCGGUUUUGUAAGACAGGCGUGAAAUCCCCGGGCUCAACCUGGGAAUGGCGCUUGUGACUGCAAAGCUAGAGUGCGGCAGAGGGGGAUGGAAUUCCGCGUGUAGCAGUGAAAUGCGUAGAUAUGCGGAGGAACACCGAUGGCGAAGGCAAUCCCCUGGGCCUGCACUGACGCUCAUGCACGAAAGCGUGGGGAGCAAACAGGAUUAGAUACCCCGGUAGUCCCUGUCUCUUAUAC